Molecule: ribosomal RNA, 256 nt
Filed under: uncultured bacterium
Lineage: Bacteria
Description: partial 16S ribosomal RNA
Rfam family: Bacterial small subunit ribosomal RNA
Source: RNAcentral
GACGAACCGUGCAAACGUUAUUCGGAAUCACUGGGCUUAAAGGGUGCGUAGGCGGACUCGUAAGUCAGGGGUGAAAGCCCACGGCCCAACCGUGGAAGUGCCUCUGAUACUGCGAGCCUCGAGGGGGGAUAGGGGGCGUGCGGAACUCAGGGUGGAGCGGUGAAAUGCGUAGAUAUCCUGAGGAACACCGGUGGCGAAAGCGGCGCGCUGGAUCCCUACUGACGCUGAGGCACGAAAGCCAGGGGAGCAAACGGGG